GCCUGCGUGGCUCAGUCAGUUGAGCAUCUGACUUCGGCUCAGGUCAUGAUCUCACAGCUCGUGAGUUCAAGCCCCACGUCGGGCU
RNAcentral lists this transfer RNA (85 nucleotides) under Felis catus (domestic cat). It matches the Rfam family "tRNA". Rfam says of the family: Transfer RNA (tRNA) molecules are approximately 80 nucleotides in length. Their secondary structure includes four short double-helical elements and three loops (D, anti-codon, and T loops). Lineage: Eukaryota; Metazoa; Chordata; Mammalia; Carnivora; Felidae. The record is from Rfam by way of RNAcentral.